UUGAACGCUGGCGGCAUGCUUUACACAUGCAAGUCGAACGGCAGCACGAAAGAGCUUGCUCUUUUGGUGGCGAGUGGCGAACGGGUGAGUAAUGCAUCGGAACGUACCGAGUAAUGGGGGAUAACUGUCCGAAAGGAUAGCUAAUACCGCAUACGCUUUGAGAAGGAAAGUGGGGGCUCUUCGGACCUCACGUUAUUCGAGCGGCCGAUGUCUGAUUAGCUAGUUGGUGGGGUAAAGGCCUACCAAGGCGACGAUCAGUAGCGGGUCUGAGAGGAUGAUCCGCCACACUGGGACUGAGACACGGCCCAGACUCCUACGGGAGGCAGCAGUGGGGAAUUUUGGACAAAGGGCGCAAGCCUGAUCCAGCCAUGCCGCGUGUCUGAAGAAGGCCUUCGGGUUGUAAAGGACUUUUGUUAGGGAAGAAAAGGAUAGUGUUAAUACCAUUAUCUGCUGACGGUACCUAAAGAAUAAGCACCGGCUAACUACGUG
RNAcentral lists this ribosomal RNA (489 nucleotides) under uncultured bacterium. RNAcentral describes it as "partial 16S ribosomal RNA". It matches the Rfam family "Bacterial small subunit ribosomal RNA", at positions 30 to 507 of the family's 1533-position model. The record is from RNAcentral.